UAGACGGAAAGACCCCGUGAACCUUUACUAUAGCUUGACACUGAACAUUGAAUUUUGAUGUGUAGGAUAGGUGGGAGCUUAAGAAGCAGUCACGCCAGUGAUUGUGGAGGCGUCCUUGAAAUACCACCCUUUAACGUUUGAUGUUCUAACGAAGAUUGCGAAACGUGGUCUCGGACAGUGUCUGGUGGGUAGUUUGACUGGGGCGGUCUCCUCCCAAAGCGUAACGGAGGAGCAC
Molecule: ribosomal RNA, 235 nt
Filed under: Glaesserella parasuis
Lineage: Bacteria; Pseudomonadati; Pseudomonadota; Gammaproteobacteria; Pasteurellales; Pasteurellaceae
Description: partial 23S ribosomal RNA
Rfam family: Bacterial large subunit ribosomal RNA
Source: RNAcentral